AGAUAAAGGCAAAUCAAGCGAAAGUUUGAGACGCAAAGCUUUAGGUCUAAAGGAGUUAUUAAUUCCAAUGAUAGCUAGGCUACCU
Molecule: non-coding RNA, 85 nt
Filed under: bovine gut metagenome
Description: Cyclic di-GMP-I riboswitch
Rfam family: c-di-GMP-I riboswitch aptamer
About the family: GEMM was predicted in a large-scale screen for bacterial structured RNA regulatory elements. Genes associated with GEMM are involved in a diverse array of functions, including chemotaxis regulation, signal transduction, secretion and chitin.
Source: RNAcentral